Molecule: ribosomal RNA, 197 nt
Filed under: uncultured bacterium
Lineage: Bacteria
Description: partial 16S ribosomal RNA
Rfam family: Bacterial small subunit ribosomal RNA
Source: RNAcentral
ACGCUCGACACUACGGAGGCAGCAGUCGGGAAUAUUGCGCAAUGGAGGAAACUCUGACGCAGUGACGCCGCGUAUAGGAAGAAGGUUUUCGGAUUGUAAACUAUUGUCGUUAGGGAAGAAAAAAGACAGUACCUAAGGAGGAAGCUCCGGCUAACUACGUGUCAGCAGCCGCGGUAAUCUGAGCGGGCUGGCAAGGC